UACGAAGGGGGCUAGCGUUGCUCGGAAUCACUGGGCGUAAAGCGCACGUAGGCGGAUUGUUAAGUCAGGGGUGAAAUCCUGGAGCUCAACUCCAGAACUGCCUUUGAUACUGGCGAUCUUGAGUCCGGGAGAGGUGAGUGGAACUGCGAGUGUAGAGGUGAAAUUCGUAGAUAUUCGGAAGAACACCAGUGGCGAAGGCGGCUCACUGGCCCGGUACUGACGCUCAGGUGCGAAAGCGUGGGGAGCAAGCAGG
This 253-nucleotide ribosomal RNA is filed under the name uncultured bacterium. RNAcentral's name for it is "partial 16S ribosomal RNA". It matches the Rfam family "Bacterial small subunit ribosomal RNA", at positions 524 to 776 of the family's 1533-position model. The record is from RNAcentral.